Molecule: ribosomal RNA, 253 nt
Filed under: uncultured bacterium
Lineage: Bacteria
Description: partial 16S ribosomal RNA
Rfam family: Bacterial small subunit ribosomal RNA
Source: RNAcentral
UACGGAGGGUGCAAGCGUUAUCCGGAUUUACUGGGUUUAAAGGGUGCGUAGGCGGGUUUCCAAGUCAGUGGUGAAAGCUCCGAGCUUAACUCGGAAAUUGCCAUUGAUACUGGAAGUCUUGAAUUCAGUUGAGGUCGGCGGAAUGUGUCGUGUAGUAGUGAAAUACUUAGAUAUGACACAGAACACCAAUUGCGAAGGCAGCUGGCUAACCUGACAUUGACGCUGAGGCACGAAAGCGUGGGGAUCAAACAGG